This 439-nucleotide ribosomal RNA is filed under the name uncultured bacterium. RNAcentral's name for it is "bacterial SSU rRNA". It matches the Rfam family "Bacterial small subunit ribosomal RNA", at positions 8 to 451 of the family's 1533-position model. The record is from RNAcentral.
AGAGUUUGAUCCUGGCUCAGAUUGAACGCUGGCGGCAUGCCUUACACAUGCAAGUCGAACGGCAGCGCGGGGCAACCUGGCGGCGAGUGGCGAACGGGUGAGUAAUAUAUCGGAACGUACCCUGGAGUGGGGGAUAACGUAGCGAAAGUUACGCUAAUACCGCAUACGAUCUAAGGAUGAAAGUGGGGGAUCGCAAGACCUCAUGCUCCUGGAGCGGCCGAUAUCUGAUUAGCUAGUUGGCGGGGUAAAAGCCCACCAAGGCAACGAUCAGUAGCUGGUCUGAGAGGACGACCAGCCACACUGGAACUGAGACACGGUCCAGACUCCUACGGGAGGCAGCAGUGGGGAAUUUUGGACAAUGGGCGCAAGCCUGAUCCAGCAAUGCCGCGUGAGUGAAGAAGGCCUUCGGGUUGUAAAGCUCUUUUGUCAGGGAAGAAAC